Molecule: long non-coding RNA, 429 nt
Organism: Micropterus salmoides (largemouth bass)
Lineage: Eukaryota; Metazoa; Chordata; Actinopteri; Centrarchiformes; Centrarchidae
Exons: 3
Source: RefSeq, a predicted model, not a curated record
UUGGUGGCACUGAUGCCUACAUGCAGUCAACACGCUUACACGGAAGACCUAAGUGAACUGCGGAUGUGUUUUACCGGGUCCACCUGAGAAACGCUGAUAUCCCCGCUAAAGUAAACCCGCCGGCGUCCUCCGACCAGGUCUGAUUCAUGGAAGGACAACGUCUGUCCAAGAGGCCGGCAAAGACACGCAGCGACCCAGAGAUGUAGCCUGCGUUAGACUCUCCUUAUUGAAAGGAACCAGCUUAAGUGAACUGGCUCAGCUUUGUGAAGACUGAAACCUGCUUGUUGGGUCUGGGACCAGAUGAACAACGCAGCCGAAGAACAUGUUUUAAAAGUUUCUAUUUGAAAUCAAGUCGAAAAAAGAAAAGAUGGAACAAAAAAAGAGGAAAACUCCCUCUCCCUUCUCUGCAGGGUAUAAUGUAGACAGUUG